Molecule: ribosomal RNA, 465 nt
Filed under: uncultured soil bacterium
Lineage: Bacteria
Description: bacterial SSU rRNA
Rfam family: Bacterial small subunit ribosomal RNA
Source: RNAcentral
AGGAUGAACGCUGGCGGCGUGCCUAAAACAUGCAAGUCGUGCGGUAACAGGUCUAGUUUACUAGAUGCUGACGAGCGGCGGACGGCUGAGUAACGCGUGGGAAUCUGCCCCGAAGUGGGGGAUAACUGCUCGAAAGAGUAGCUAAUACCGCAUAUGGUCUACGGAUUAAAGAAGCAAUUCGCUUCGGGAGGAGCCCGCGUAAGAUUAGAUAGUUGGUGAGGUAAUGGCUCACCAAGUCGACGAUCUUUAACUGGUUUGAGAGGAUGAUCAGUCAGACUGGAACUGAGACACGGUCCAGACUCCUACGGGAGGCAGCAGUUAGGAAUAUUCCACAAUGGGGGCAACCCUGAUGGAGCAACGCCGCGUGGAGGAUGAAGGCCCUAGGGUCGUAAACUUCUUUUCUAUGCGAAGAAUAUAGACGUAACAUAAGGAAUAAGGGUCUGCUAACUACGUGCCAGCAGCCGC